CUAGCGAGACUGCCGGUAAUAAACCGGAGGAAGGUGGGGAUGACGUCAAAUCAUCAUGCCCCUUAUGACCUGGGCUACACACGUGCUACAAUGGUUGGUACAACGAGUUGCGAGUCGGUGACGGCGAGCUAAUCUCUUAAAGCCAAUCUCAGUUCGGAUUGUAGGCUGCAACUCGCCUACAUGAAGUCGGAAUCGCUAGUAAUCGCGGAUCAGCACGCCGCGGUGAAUACGUUCCCGGGCCUU
This 243-nucleotide ribosomal RNA is filed under the name uncultured Streptococcus sp. RNAcentral's name for it is "partial 16S ribosomal RNA". It matches the Rfam family "Bacterial small subunit ribosomal RNA", at positions 1140 to 1382 of the family's 1533-position model. The record is from RNAcentral. Lineage: Bacteria; Bacillati; Bacillota; Bacilli; Lactobacillales; Streptococcaceae.